CCUACGGGAGGCUGCAGUGGGGAAUCUUGCACAAUGGGGGAAACCCUGAUGCAGCGAUGCCGCGUGAGUGAAGAAGGCCUUUGGGUUGUAAAACUCUUUCGUCGGGGAAGAAAAUGACUGUACCCGAAUAAGAAGGUCCGGCUAACUUCGUGCCAGCAGCCGCGGUAAUACGAAGGGACCUAGCGUAGUUCGGAAUUACUGGGCUUAAAGAGUUCGUAGGUGGUUGAAAAAGUUGGUGGUGAAAUCCCAGAGCUUAACUCUGGAACUGCCAUCAAAACUUUUCAGCUAGAGUUUGAUAGAGGAAAGCAGAAUUUCUAGUGUAGAGGUGAAAUUCGUAGAUAUUGGAAAGAACACCGAUGGCGAAGGCACUUUACUGGGCUAUUACUGACACUCAGAGACGAAAGCUAGGGUAGCAAAUGGGAUUAGAUACCCUUGUAGUC
This 440-nucleotide ribosomal RNA is filed under the name uncultured bacterium. RNAcentral's name for it is "bacterial SSU rRNA". It matches the Rfam family "Bacterial small subunit ribosomal RNA", at positions 338 to 795 of the family's 1533-position model. The record is from RNAcentral.